Molecule: ribosomal RNA, 253 nt
Filed under: uncultured Eubacteriales bacterium
Lineage: Bacteria; Bacillati; Bacillota; Clostridia; Eubacteriales
Description: uncultured Clostridiales bacterium partial 16S ribosomal RNA
Rfam family: Bacterial small subunit ribosomal RNA
Source: RNAcentral
UACGUAUGGAGCAAGCGUUAUCCGGAUUUACUGGGCGUAAAGGGAGCGUAGGCGGCCUGCCAAGUCUGAUGUGAAAGCCCGGGGCCCAACCCCGGUACUGCAUUUGAAACUGUCCGGCUGGAGUGCAGGAGAGGUAAGCGGAAUUCCUAGUGUAGCGGUGAAAUGCGUAGAUAUUAGGAGGAACACCAGUGGCGAAGGCGGCUUACUGGACUGUAACUGACACUGAGGCACGAAAGCGUGGGGAGCAAACAGG